This is a non-coding RNA of Prunus avium (sweet cherry), 1136 nucleotides long. The record is from RefSeq and is a predicted model, not a curated record. Lineage: Eukaryota; Viridiplantae; Streptophyta; Magnoliopsida; Rosales; Rosaceae.
UCUAAUCAACACCAGAUCAGAACUCAUUUCACGACCUCCAGUCUCUCAUCUUCAUCUUCAACCCCAAUUUUCAGUUUUUGUUCUUCCACCAGUUUUUGUUCAACCUCAUCAUUCUAAGCUUUGUCGGAGGGCUCGCCUGGGCCACCGACAAUGAUGCGCUGGAGAGGGCCUUUUCUCAGUUCGGUGAGAUCAUCGAAUUGAAGGGCCGUUUGACGCACUACUUGAUCUUCUGUUUCUCUAUGUUACUUGAUCUUUCUCUCCCAAAGAUUGAAGAUCGAUCGAUUCCUUUUCAUUUUUGUCUAUUAUUGUGUAUUUGUUUGAUUAUACUCAGGUGUUUUGGUUUUGGUGGACGGAUCUGAUUUGAUUUGGUUUCUUUUUGUGUUUCCAGAUCAUCAACGAUCGUGAGACCGGGAGGUCCAGGGGCUUCGGCUUCGGCUUCGUCACCUUCAGCAACGAGAAGGCCAUGAGGGACGCGAUCGAAGGCAUGAACGACCAGAACCUCGACGGUCGUAACACUGAGACCUACAUUAUUUUGUAGUGUGCCUCGGUUGUACAACAGAAUAUAUGCCGGGUAAUCAUAGUUGGCUGCUACAUUCCUAUAUAUCCACAGUUUGCAAGAUACAAUCGUUGGAUUUACAAGUAUGGAUUAUACAUCGAAAGAGCUUCCGGGAUCUGAAGAUGGUAGUCAUAUUUUUGAGGUUGAAGCAUUGCUCAGGAAUGCCAAAGUAUUGACUCCUAAAGAGGCACCUCAAAAAUUUGCUAAUAUUCAGUAGAUAAUCGUCGCGAUUAAUUCUCUCAUCAAGGGCUUCAGUGAGCGUCUUGUAAGUUGUAACUGCUAGUCGCCCUGCAAUAGGUCUCAUGUUCAAGCAGACAUUGGAUGUUCUCCUACAAGUACUUGUUGUGUUUCCUGAUGUAGAGACUUUGCGCAGUAAGGUAACAUCAUUUGUACACCGCAUGGUGGACACUCUAGGAGCAUAUGUUUUUCCCUACCUCCCAAAGGCACUGGAGCAAUUGCUUGUGGAUAGUGAGAUAUAAAGCAAGGUAUUUCCUUGGUGAAAUUGUAGACAAUUGGAGAUGGUUCCUGCAAAUGAUAUCGGAUGUCUUGCUGGGCUUUUUUGGGUUUUUUUUAUAUAAAA